CCAUGCUUCGUCCACUGUGGAGACAUGUUGGGUACCGUGUCUGCCUACAGAAAAGACUGAGCCCUAGAGAGCAGAGCCCCCACCAGGCCUGAGCAAGCCAGCAGUGUGGAGAAAGGGCAGCCUUCUACCUUCACACAGAACAUCCACUGUGUCCCCUUGGCGGAAGUCCAAGUCCUCCGGCCUUUGGGCACGAUAGUCGUACUGAGCUACCACUUGGUAGAGGACUGGCCGGCCCCAGGCCCCCUGUAAUAGAAGAGUGGGCUGCAGGGGCAGUGCACUCGAGGGGCUUCCCUUCCAACUGCCUGGGCUGCCCACAGCAGGCACCAGUCUCUCCCCUUGGCUCACCCGGCACUGGAGCUGCAAGCCUCUUGGGCUCACUGGCACAUUCCUCCAUACACUCUGCAGUGAGUCCUCCGUGGAGAUGGGGACCCAGGCUCUGUCCUCUCCUCGGGCUUUGUAGCUGCACAGAGGGUCCUGAGGGUGAGCUACAGUGUGCAGGGGGAGUACCUAGUGCCUGGUCUGUCCCUAAAGGAAAUUAAUUUCUGGGGCUCUCCACUGUUCCCGGCUGGCCUUUACUUCCAGGCUGCCCAGAUUCUUAACAUAGAGCUAAGGAGGCCUUAGCUUUCGUCCCAUCCUGAGUCUGAAAAGUGACUGCUUCAGAGCAAAACAAUAAUAAAAAGCCUUCUCUCCAGUUCAGAA
RNAcentral lists this long non-coding RNA (699 nucleotides) under Rattus norvegicus (Norway rat). RNAcentral's name for it is "long non-coding RNA NONRATT017865". The record is from RNAcentral. Lineage: Eukaryota; Metazoa; Chordata; Mammalia; Rodentia; Muridae.